RNAcentral lists this ribosomal RNA (1124 nucleotides) under Candidatus Magasanikbacteria bacterium GW2011_GWA2_37_8. RNAcentral describes it as "bacterial LSU rRNA". It matches the Rfam family "Bacterial large subunit ribosomal RNA", at positions 10 to 1166 of the family's 2925-position model. Lineage: Bacteria; Candidatus Magasanikiibacteriota. The record is from RNAcentral.
AACAAGUGCAAACGGUGGAUGCCUCGGCACCAAAAGACGAAGAAGGACGUUGCAGGGUGCGAUAAGCCUCGGGUAGGUCCCAAGCAACCUUUGACCCGGGGAUUUCCGAAUGGGGAAACCCACUCCGACUUGAUCGGAGUAUUAUAUACUGAAUUCAUAGGUAUAUAAAGAAGACCUAGCGAAGUGAAACAUCUCAGUAGCUAGAGGAAAAUAAAUCGAAGAGAUUCCCCCAGUAGUGGCGAGCGAAAAGGGAACAGCCUAAAUCAUAUAAAUGUUGUUAUAUUAAUUCUUAGUGGAAUGUCUCUGGAAUGAGCAACCAUAGCAGGUGAUAGUCCUGUACGCGAAAAGAAUUAGUCAUUCAUGGCUUAUAUUCUUGAGUAGGGCGGAACUCGUGAAAUUCCGUCUGAAUCUGGGCCGACUAUGGUCUAAGGCUAAAUACUUUUGGUGAUCGAUAGUGAACAAGUACCGCGAGGGAAAGGUGAAAAGUAGCCCGGUGAGGGCGAUGAAAUAGUAUCUGAAACCGUUUGCUUACAAAGAGCCGGAGCCCGCAAGGGUGACGGUAUUCCUAUUGAAGAAUGAGCCUGCGAGUAUAUGUGUGUCGUUUGCUUAAGGGCCUAUGGUCCGAAGGCGUAGCGAAAGCGAGUCUUAACGGGCGUUUAUGGCACGUAUAUAACCCGAAACCGGGUGAGCUAUCCAUGGUCAGGAUGAGUCUUUUCGAAAGAAAAGAGGAGGUCCGAACUCACGCACCGUGCAACAUGCGGAGAUGAACUGUGGAUGGGAGAGAAAUUCUAAUCGAACUCGGUGAUAGCUGGUUUUCCUCGAAAUAGCUUUAGGGCUAGCCUUGUAUGAUCCCACUGGUGGUAGAGCACUGGAUGAGAAUUGGGUCCUUCGGGAUACCGUUUUCAAUCAAACUCCGAAUGCCAGUGAUUAUAAUACAGGAGUCAGACAGUGACGGCUAAGCGCCAUUGUCAAAAGGGAAACAGCCCAGAUCGCAAUCUAAGGUCCCUAAAUUCAUGUUAAGUGUCAAAGGUGGUGUUAAUUCUUAUACAACCAGGAGGUUUGCUUAGAAGCAGCAAUCCUUUAAAGAAAGCGUAACAGCUCACUGGUCAAGAGUUUUCGCGCCG